This is a long non-coding RNA of Bos indicus x Bos taurus (hybrid cattle), 1655 nucleotides long. The record is from Ensembl. NCBI's taxonomy places the organism in Eukaryota, Metazoa, Chordata, Mammalia, Artiodactyla, Bovidae.
ACCGACAUGAGUUGUGUAUUCUCUCUUUAAUUUCUCCACCACCCAUAGGUCAUAACAUUUACUGACUGAAAAUGGUUAUGGGCCAUUGGGACCUUCCUCUGCACAUGGGAAGAAAUGUAGUCUUCUGGGGUGAGAGGAGAUAUAGAAACCGAAACUAAGAAAAAUCUGAUAACUAAGCCAGAUGACAGAGAAGACAAUGUUUACUGAUAAGGAGGAAUACCUCUGACUCUUAACUGAAAAUUUGCAUGAAAGACCCAUAGAAUGUCCCAGGGGGUGUUGACUCACACCCCUUGGCUGACGAUCCCUCCACAUCUGCACUGGUAUUCAUGUAGCAGCAGGAUGUGCAGGUGAUUUGUGCUCUGUAGAACAAUUUGAAGAACUGUCGGGUGUAUAGCUGAAAAAGGAAAAAAAAAUCACUCAUUUUGGAUGACAUCCAUGAAAGCAUUGCCAAUCUUGAUGUCAUGGUUUUUGUCAAGAAGAAAAAGGGGACACUAACAGACUGCUUUGUUAAAAAAUAUAUAUUAUGGCAAUAAUAGAUAUUCAUCAAUUCAAUACAUUUGAAAUUAAAAUCAAAAGCACAAGUUCCCAUUUUUCUUUGAUCAACCUCAUUUCCUAAAGGUCCCAGGAGGCUGAACCUUCCCUUCUGGCUGUAUGUAGCCCAUGGAAAGCUUGGCAGAUUUGGGGUGUAUGAAGAAGCCAUGGCAUUUUUCCUACUCCCUUUCUCUCUGAGCUGUAUUAUAUAGAAAUAACUGAGCUCUUCUGUAAAGAUAGUUCCUGAUGAAUGGCUCCUCCACCAUCUCUCCACUCCAGUUCUAGGGCCAUACUGCUUUCCUUUAGAGUUGAUAAUGGCUUCCCACUGUUGCUAGCCUCUGUGUCUCACCAUCCCUGUUUCCUCAAACCAGUGGUAGGCUGGUAAAUUUUAGUAUUUGGCAGUUCUAGGGGGGUGGGGACUCCCACAAUGACUGAUUUCAAGAUACCAACCUGAAAUGACUGAAUGUAAUACUGGGAAGAAUUAUGGACAGUCAACUCUUGAGAGGUGUUGUGAGCCAGCUCCAAAACAACACCACCCUUAUCCAUCCUGGCAACUAUCACAUUGGAACAUAAAAAUAAUAAUUACCAAGUCAAAAAUAUUAACAGCAUGGCGGCAAGCAUCCUUUCAUAUAUAUUUUUCAUAAUGUACAAAUAUUGUCUACAUAGAAUGAAAUGUAGUCAUAAAAAGAAUGAAAAUUUGUUGUUUGCUACAACAUGGAUGAAUAUUCAUUGAAAGGACUGAUGCUGAAGCUGAAGCUCCACUACUUUGGCCAUCUGAUGUGAAGAGCUCACUCGUUAGAAAAGACCCUGAUGCUGGGAAAAAUUGAAGACAGGAGGAGAAGGGGACGGCAGAGGAUGAGAUGGUUGGAUGGCAUCACCGACUCAACGGACAUGAGUUUGAGCAGGCUCCAGGAGGUGUUGAAGGACAGGGAGGCCUGGUGUUCUGCAGUCCAUGGGGCUGCAAAGAGUUAGACACGACUGAGCAACUCAACAGCAACAGCAACUUGGGUGGACCCAAAAGGCAUUGCACUUAGUGAAAUAAUUCAGAGAAAGAUAAAUGUUGUAGCUUUUCGCUACUAUGUGAAAUCUAAGAAACAAAACAAAUAAACAAAUAUCACAAAACA